Molecule: long non-coding RNA, 444 nt
Organism: Protobothrops mucrosquamatus (brown spotted pit viper)
Lineage: Eukaryota; Metazoa; Chordata; Lepidosauria; Squamata; Viperidae
Exons: 6
Source: RefSeq, a predicted model, not a curated record
UUCACACGGUGGGGCCCAUCGCCCAGGGGGAGCCCAGUCCCUCCCAGCAGACCGAACUCGGCGACUGCUACAAGAACAGCUUGAAACUCGCCCUGGAGAAUAAGCUGCAAACGGUGGCUUUUCCCUGCAUUUCCACGGGGGUCUUUGGCUAUCCCAAUGACGCUGCUGCGGAGGUGGUUCUGAACACGUUGCACAAUUGGCUAGAGGACAACAAGGACAAGGUCGAGCGGCUGGUCUUGUGUGUUUUCCUGGAAAAGGAUGAUGAGAUUUAUAAGGAGAAGCUGCCCAAGUUUUUCCCUAUCGCCUGACCCCCCCAGCCUUUCCAUGCUCCGAAGGGCAGAUCCUGGUGAGGAAACGCCGUCCGCCAAGCUCUGAAGACGCUUCCUGACGAUGCCGCUGCUUCUCUGCAGGAGGAGACGCCGCCGGGUCCUUUCCAACGGGGGG